This 484-nucleotide ribosomal RNA is filed under the name uncultured bacterium. Its description in RNAcentral is "partial 16S ribosomal RNA". It matches the Rfam family "Bacterial small subunit ribosomal RNA", at positions 28 to 507 of the family's 1533-position model. The record is from RNAcentral.
AUUGAACGCUGGCGGCAUGCUUUACACAUGCAAGUCGAACGGCAGCGCGGGCUUCGGCCUGGCGUCGAGUGGCGAACGGGUGAGUAAUGCAUCGGAACGUGCCCAGUAGUGGGGGCUAGCCCGGCGAAAGCCGGAUUAAUACCGCAUACGACCUGAGGGUGAAAGCGGGGGACCGAAAGGCCUCGCGCUAUUUGAGCGGCCGAUGUCGGAUUAGCUAGUUGGUGGGGUAAAGGCUUACCAAGGCGACGAUCCGUAGCUGGUCUGAGAGGACGACCAGCCACACUGGAACUGAGACACGGCCCAGACUCCUACGGGAGGCAGCAGUGGGGAAUUUUGGACAAUGGGGGCAACCCUGAUCCAGCCAUGCCGCGUGCGGGAAGAAGGCCUUCGGGUUGUAAACCGCUUUUGUUCGGGAAGAAAUCCUCUGGGCUAAUACCCCGGGGGGAUGACGGUACCGGAAGAAUAAGCACCGGCUAACUACGUG